GGGUCUGUGGCCUAACUGGGUAAGGCAACGGACUUUUAAUCCGUGGAUUGCGGGUUCGAGUCCCGCCAGACCCA
This 74-nucleotide transfer RNA is filed under the name Chloracidobacterium sp. RNAcentral's name for it is "tRNA-Lys". It matches the Rfam family "tRNA". From Rfam's summary of the family: Transfer RNA (tRNA) molecules are approximately 80 nucleotides in length. Their secondary structure includes four short double-helical elements and three loops (D, anti-codon, and T loops). Further hydrogen bonds mediate the characteristic L-shaped molecular structure. tRNAs have two regions of fundamental functional importance: the anti-codon, which is responsible for specific mRNA codon recognition, and the 3' end, to which the tRNAs corresponding amino acid is attached (by aminoacyl-tRNA synthetases). tRNAs cope with the degeneracy of the genetic code in two manners: having more than one tRNA (with a specific anti-codon) for a particular amino acid; and 'wobble' base-pairing, i.e. permitting non-standard base-pairing at the 3rd anti-codon position. Lineage: Bacteria; Pseudomonadati; Acidobacteriota; Blastocatellia; Chloracidobacteriales; Chloracidobacteriaceae. The record is from RNAcentral.